Molecule: non-coding RNA, 365 nt
Organism: Pelobates cultripes (western spadefoot toad)
Lineage: Eukaryota; Metazoa; Chordata; Amphibia; Anura; Pelobatidae
Source: the annotation of a GenBank genome assembly
AGAAUAUUUCUGUUUUUCAACAGUUUUGAAGUAAUGCAAUGCCUUUAUCAAUCCUUAAUUUUUUGUUUUCCUUAACCUAUAGUUUAAUGCAUUUGAACUUUUUGUUUUGUUUCUAAACAGCAAUCAUCAAAGUCCAACAAAAUGCAUUUUUUUUUCAUUUUUACAUUGUUCUCUCAAAUGAUUCAUUGCUGGAGUGAAGUCUCUCAAGUAUCCUGUAGAUAGUCCUUGUUUUAUUAAAAAAUAUUUAUUAGAAGUAAGCAAAUUAUAUUUCCUUUUUCUCCCUUGCAAAUAUUCCUAAAUAUGUGUCAUUGGACACCACUUUGCAUGUAGUAAAAUGUAAAGCCAUUAUUUUCUGCUUUGCUGAC